Molecule: long non-coding RNA, 1094 nt
Filed under: Salmo salar (Atlantic salmon)
Lineage: Eukaryota; Metazoa; Chordata; Actinopteri; Salmoniformes; Salmonidae
Description: lncRNA (ENSSSAG00000083973.1)
Source: RNAcentral
CUGGAGUCAGAGAUCGCAUUGGUCCGAGACGGCCAAUAAAAAUUAUCGUUGUUGCAGGGGCCUUUCUUAGUCAUGGGGGAAGUGAAACGUAAUGUGAAUGUAAUUGACUUAAUGGUAUCAUUACACAAAGAAAAUGUCAACGUGCCACUGCAAUGCUAAUACUGAUGCCUAUCCUAUCAUAUGGCCCAUUAGCCUCCAUCUUAUCAAUCAGAUCAAAGGCCUGCUUUGCUCCAUUGAUUGUUAGCCAUUUAAGGAUGGAGCCUGCAGCGAUAUAAGCUAUAUACAGUAGGAUAUCACAGGGUAAUUCACUAUUUCCACCACUGUCUUCAUUACUACAUUUCCACGGCCCCAGGGAAUGCGACGUCUUACAGGCAGAGUACUGGGCAGGCCGGGGAAGCUUCCAGGCGUGAAACAGCCAGCGACGAAGAUAACCAAGCUAGCUUUGAUUGCUCAGGUAACAGAGCCAGUGAAUAUGCAGUACUGCCUAUAGCCCUCCCCAGCUGCACAGGUGUUGGGUCCAGGAGGGACAUGGAUGCAUCCUUGGAAUCAUUGGGACAAUGCUCCACCUUUUGGUGGUGGUGUUUGUGUAUGUUUACACUCCAGUGCACCAAGCAUCAUGGCAGAAAGAACUGCUGCCCUUAAUUGAUUACUUAUCCACACGCAAAGUACACGCACAGGUAGAGGAUAGCUCGCUUCAAUAGCUUAUCACCGACACAUAUCAACCUACAUAUUAUGCAGGGGUUAAGCAAUAUAAUAUUUGUGAACAAUGCAAGGCAUGAUAGUCUGUCUACAUGAUGCAAAUCAUGAAGGUCCACUGAGAAAGAAAACAUAUGAUGGGGUGGCAGGUAGCAUAGUGGUUAAGAGCAUUGGACCAGAAACCAAAAGGUUGCAGGUUUGAAUCCCUGACCUGACUAGGUGAAAGAUCUGUUGAUGUGCCCUUGAGCAAAGCACUUAAUGAACAUACCGUUUUACAUGUAUAUACUGUAUUCUAGUCAAGGCUCAUCCUAUGUAUGCCUAACUACUGAUGUACACACAGUUUCUAUUCAUAUAAUGUCUAUACACACUAUCAUAUACAUAUUUAUUUAUAUUCCGGA